This is a long non-coding RNA of Delphinapterus leucas (beluga whale), 4710 nucleotides long. RefSeq lists it as uncharacterized. NCBI's taxonomy places the organism in Eukaryota, Metazoa, Chordata, Mammalia, Artiodactyla, Monodontidae. The record is from RefSeq and is a predicted model, not a curated record.
CCCGCGUACCGCAAAAAAAAAAAAAAAAAAAGAAAAUGGUCCGCUUUUAACCCCAGGGACAAGCACCACGCUCUGAAAGAUGCUGGAGGAAGGAGAUGGAAGGAAUCAAGGCCCCUGAAUGACCUCAUGGAGCGGAGCCUCCACACCAGCGUGGGCUGUCGGUCCAUCUCUGGACUACGUUCCAUUAGAGAGAUGAAGCUCUCCCCUAUUCGUCACGAUAUUCUGGAGUCUCUUUGUUACAGCAGUUCAGCUUUAUCAUAACUGAAACAGACACAUGGGAUUACGCACAUGGGGAAUCACUGCGGUUCCACACAGCGGGGACAGAAGUGACAUUUGUCUUCUAUGUUCACUGCUGCAGCCCAGAGGACGGAACUACUGGUAUCUGCACAUGAGUAGGAAGCAGGGUGAACCACUGGAGAGAAUGGUGCCCAGAACAGGGGCCCAGCUGAUGUGAGCAGAGGAAGUUGAAAACAGUCAUCGUGGAGAAAUAGCAGAGUGAGCGCAGGACCACGCUGGGAAGAAAGGGGCAUCCUGAAAGGCUCGCUAAUGAGGCUGUUACAGUAACGAUCCACCCGAGACUCUACCGUACCUUCCCGAACGAUCUGUCUGUUGCUGUAAACGGGGUCGGUCUGAGAUGGCCGGUCCUUUAUCUAUCAGUUGCCGUUCCUGUCGUCGAUGCGUGUGGACCGUCCUUUGUGGACACCAUCCGUCCUGGACUUCAUCUAGUCAUCCACGGGCUUCGGACAUCUUCAGUUUCACAAACUCAUAGAUUGAUGUACACAUGUAAUCGGUGAGGAACCUUGUCCAGACCAGGAGACUGGGACCCACAAUGAGCUUCGAAAGAGAGGUUUUAUACUCCUUUCUCUAUUACUAUUAACCUUGUGUAUCCCCAAAACAAGAAAGCUUGGGCCCUGAGAACAGGUCUUCUGAGCCCUGGCUCUGCCGCUUACAAGCCCUGCGACCUUGAGAAGGCUACAGGGAGCGUCCCACAAGCCAAGAACCGUAAUCUCAUCUUAUAAAGGGAGAUAAGCGCCCUACGGUGCCUGCCUCGUACGCCAGUGUGGCCGCUGAGCGGUAAGAGGUACACGGUGCUCUCACGGUCACAGCAGGAGUGCAGCUGACCAUUCACAGUUCCGGGCAAACAUAAGACGGCGUGUAGGUUCAAAAUGCCUGUUUCCUAAGCGGGGGCUGAUUCCUUCUGAUGCUGUGAUGAGGGAUUUGUCUUAAUCCCCCUGGUGUGUCUGCUUCUGGCCUUUCCCACCUGUGCUUUUCCAAGCUGCCCCUGGGAAGCUACUUGUGGGAUCAGACUGGAUUUUUGAAAAUAAUUUCUCCCUUUUCCUUUUCAUUAGGACCACGUGAAGUUGCAUCGCCUAAAUUGUGCACUGAGAAUGUCUCUUGGGAGUUGUUUCCCUCUGGCUUUAUCAAAGCACCUGCUUCAUAAGGCCUGCCUCCUUGGAGCCUGGGACACGUCUGACCACCCAGCUCGUCCUCCGUGACACAACUGUCCCCUGUACCUCUGCUCGGACUUCCCCCGAUAAACCGCUCCCAUCUCCUUCCUUACUGGCUUCCCCUGAUGACCCACGGAUUUCCCUGCAGUCACAGGCCUUUUGCUGGGGGCUCAGCAAGUACAGCAUCGUUCGUUCUGACUCCCCCAUCCAUCCGUCUCUCUCAAUCUGCUAAAACUUUCUUAGUCGCUCUCUAACCAUGACUCAUCUCACCAAGCAAAACGGGUAAAGCCAUGUUAUCAACUAUGUUGUCAUUUUAAGUUUACAACCCACGGAAUACUUAUUCACCGGCGGAUGUCGACGGCUAAGCAUGUUGAUUUAAACACCCUUUUCCAAUUAUGUCAUUAUGGGAAUAACUGGACACAUUUUGAAUCUUAAUUAUCUUUUUAUGCUAUACCGUAGGCCAUAGGAGAGGGAUGACAGCUUUCUUUGGACUGACACCCUAGCUUGUACACAGGGUUCAAGUCACAUGAGCUGAGAUCAGUUUUAAGUUCAAAGAAUAUAUGUUUUAACUUCCUGAGGAAGCAGAGACCAUGAUUUUACCAAGUUGCCACGUUAAUCAAACAGAGACACAGCCUUGAAGGGGAGUGAGUUCACAAUCAGAGCUCAGGCAGGUCAACAGUGUGUCCCGUGAGAACGGCGGCCACCAGGGGUGUGCCAUUGCUUUCGGAACCUGCGUCAUUAAAAAUACAUCUUCUCUUCUUCUCAAGUGUUCCCCUUGGUUGCUCAAAAUUUCUUCACAGAAGAAAUACAAAGAAGAAGAAAAAGUAAUACAUAGCACACGAAAUCAAAGAACCAGGGUUUCGUUUAGAAGAAUGCAAAACUGUAUUUACUGUGAUUACGAUUCAGAAAAACUGGCAGCCUCCAAUUUCUUUUCUGCAAUUCAAUUAACCUUAUGCGUACCUUUCUGCUUUAAGGUGUUAAUUUUUUCCACUCAAGAGAAAACAAAAGGAGAAUGAAAUAAAUUAUGAGAAUAUGAAAUGUAACUGAUUAAAAAAAUGGAAGAGAUUGGCAUUUCUUCCUCGGGGAACAUUUGUCUUAGGGGUCACCUUUCAAUUCUUCCAACUGCUGUCUUCAGAAGGACCUAAAUUAAUUCUGGAUAUUAUUUUCAUUUUUUUGAAGAAAUUGGCUCAAUUUUUCUCACAAUCAAGGAGUUGGAACUUGAUUUUGCAUAAGAUAUGAGCGCUGCAUCUGGAAAAGAACUGCCCCAUCUCCCAAAUAAUUAGGAUAAGUUCAAGUAGAUCAUAAGUAACAGACGCUUAAAUACCCCUCACACUUACAAGGAAAUCUUCAGAUAGAACAGUAAUAUACAGUCUGCAGCCAAGGUGGUUCAAGGUCAGUUUCUCCUUCCAGAUGCAUCUGCAGACAGUCAGCAUCUCCCCACCACUGGACCCUCUACAAAAAGCACAUCUAGAGAUACGCAAGCUGUGGAUGAAAUGCAGCGGGUUUGCUAGGGGCACGUGUUUUAUAACAUGCAUGUGUAACUGAUGGAGUUGGGACCGAUCAGGUGUGAAUAUAACGUAAAAGCUGCAGCGGGCGUGGACCAAUGUCUCUGGCACACAAGGGUUGUAAGUCACGACACUAAACACAAAAGGCUAACACAAGUGAGCAGGGCAGGACGCAGAGGCGUGCUCUUCCAUAAACGAUGCCCUCUGACCCCACGCUGUCCCUCUUGGUCCCGUUUGGUCACAUGUUCUGCCUUGAAAGUGUCUGUUGCACGCGUCUCCGGAUCUUUGUCAAAAGGAACAAGCGCAGACAGUGGUCCAGAACGGCCAGCGCUGGCAUCGCUGCGUUUGCCUGUAACCAUCCACCUCUGUCCUCGUCUCCAAGGCCAGGCACCUCCACCCGUCCUCCCCUGGUCUUUCAUCAAGCCGCCUUUGCCUUCCUCUUUAUUAAAGUUCUGUGUGUACCGCAGCUUACUUCAUCUAUCAGGAAUUUCAUACGCCCUUUCUGUGCAAGGAUCUUAAUUAGGAUUUUUUUUUUUUUUUUGCUUAGUGUUCCGGUUACAAAAUUUCCAAGGUUUUGAGUAUUCUAUCCCAACCCUACAUCUUCCCAAAUCCUUGCUAUUUUCAGUGGAUGAGUUUGCAGGAUGCAUACUUCACAGUAACACACCUGCACCGCCAAUCCAUUCCUGAAAACUUCAAAGGUAAAACAGCUCACUGCAUUCAGUGUCUCACUAACUUUUAACCCAGUUAUGGUGGUGGAUGUACGGAGUUAUAAUUCAUGUAAUUAAAAUAUAUUCGUUUCUUCAUAGUUCACAGUUGUUACUAAAACUUUGAGGAGUUUAUAAUUAUUCACUUACCUAGACAUUUAGGUACAAUUGCUAUAAUUUGUGAUGUAAUGUUUAGCCCUUAGGAACAAAACUUUCUGCCUGAAUGGGAGCCUCUUCAAUUUCCCCUGCAACACCUCUUUAAACUGGGUAUUCUGAUCUUUUCCCAGAUAGUUAUUUUCAGCUGUGUCUCUGAUUACUGCUUCCGUUUCUGCUGUUCCAUUCUGCCCCUCUGGAACAUCUAAAAUACUGAAGUUCACACUGGUUUCCUAGUGGUCCAUAUCCAUUAGCUUUCAAUGAGGUUUGAGUCUAGACUGACCCAGAUCCCUCUUCUGCGCUCCAGGCCCCUGGGUCCUGUAUCUACCCAGCACCCUACUGUGACUACCUCGAAGACACGUCCAUGUCACCUUGUGCAGCCAGUACCUCUUGCCGUGUUCCCUACCCCAGAAAUGGCGUCCUCCCAGCUGAGCAAGCCAAGAGCUGGCAGUCAGCUCUGACAUUCCCUGUUCCUCCUUCCCCACAUCCUGUCUAUCACCAAGUCCCAUUAAUCUCCCUUUAAGCAGUCCUCAAAUGACUCACAUCUCUUUGUCUCCACCGCCACCCACCCUCCUGACGCAGGCUGCAGUCUUGGACUUGGGCCACCGCAGCAGCCCGUCUCUGGACCCUCCAAAUGCAAUGGCCAAAGUGACCCUGAAGAGACACCAGACUGAGCACAUCACCAACCCCCAUCUAAACUCUUCCAGAAAACUGGGAGUGGAAGAAAAUGUCUUCAAUGUGGUAAAGGCCACAUUCCCAAAACAUUUAGCAAAUAUCACACUUAGUGGAGAAAACUUAAAAUCAGAAGCAAGGAUUCUUCCUUAACAUCACAACUGUUAAACAAAGGUCCUUACCAAUGCAGUGAGAUAAAAGAAGGAGAGGGAGGAGGGGGAGGGGAGG